AUUACACUUCGAUCUGACAAAUCCCCGCUUCCCACGUCUCAUCGGGCAAUAGUUCUUGUCUUUGAUUGGCUUCGGUUAUUGGUGUCACAGCGAGGGAGAACACGGAUGUUCUGUUGCAAGGAGCACAAGGAAUACCGUGAGUGACACACAGACACACGGCUAGCCGAGGCUGUGGGUGUAAGGUUGAAAUACACGUCUCCUAACUGCCAGUAUUCUGUAAAACCUUGGAUAGAUUUCCGGAACUUUACCCCUCCCAGUGAAGGGGCUGUGAAGUAUAUGGAGCCCCUGUGUUGAAAGUUGUCAACUUUGUGUGGCAGCUGAUGCCGAUUGUGGGAGAGUUGUGUUGGAGCCGGAGCCAAGUCUCAGGGUACCAUCCUGCAGCCCGGGGGAGCCGCGAUACGUGACCCAGCUUCAUCUUCAUCUGCACGUGCUGCCGAGGACGGGACAUUGUCGAGAUGAGUGGACAGAACACCAGCUACUCCGUCUUCCUGCAAACAACGGAACUCUUGACCAACGCUUCCGGUGCCCCUCUCGCAGACUCUGGCGUCAGCCUCACCGUCACAAUCAUCCUCGUCCUCAUGUACACCCUCAUCAUUCUCGUCGCCGUCAGCGGGAACGUCGCCGUCUGCUACAUCAUCCUCUCCGACCACCGGAUGAGAACAGUCACCAACCUGUUCCUCCUCACUCUGGCUCUCAGUGACAUCAUCAAGGCAGUGAUCUGCAACCCGUUCUCUGUGUUCGCUAACCUCAUGCUGUACUGGCCAUUCGGGAGUGUCAUGUGCCCCGUGUGGCAGUAUCUUCAGGUGGUCGCCGUUUACGUCAGUUCUCUCACCCUUGUGGCCAUGAGCCUUGACAGGUUCGUCGCCAUUUUAUUCCCUCUAAAGCCCCGGAUGUCAAAAAGUCGUCUGCUGGUGAUAAUCGUGUCAAUACUCUUCCUGUCCUGCGCACUGCCUUUACCAACAGCUGUCAAGUCGAAGGUGACGUACCCCAAACCCCAGUACCCAAAUGACCCGUCGUCGAAUGGGCUCUGUCUGGAGAAAUGGGACAAUGACUUCCAUAAGUAUGUGUACAGUAUGGGUAUCAUGGUGACACAAUACUUUCUACCCCUGUCAGUUCUCGCAUUUACAAAUGGGUGUAUCGGCUAUGUCGUGUGGCUUAAAAAGCCCCCAGGAGAAGCGGAUUCUGGACGAGACAACAGAUUGGCUGCAUCGAAGAGACGGAUGGUGAAGAUGAUCAUCGUCGUGGUGCUGAUCUACGCUGUGUGUUGGCUGCCGCUGCACGUCCUCACACUGGUGGGCGACCGCGACCAGAGCAUCUACAACGACAGCUACAUGAACAUCGUCUUUCUCGCCAUCCAGUGGCUGGCAACCAGUCACUCCUGCUACAAUCCCUUCGUCUACUUCUGGAUGAACCCAAAGUUUAGGAAUGGUUUCAAGAGAAUGUUGCGCUUCAUUCAACUGCGGAAAAUGAAGGAGAAAGACGCCAAUGUCCCCUUCCAUGCCGACCACCUGGACAGGGAGGCGUCCAGUCACUUUGACUCAGGGGGAUCCAGGUACUACCACAGCACACGGGCCAGUAACCACGUACAGAGUGUGGACUGUAUGUAGGUGAUACACAAUGCCUGGUACAGAGUGUGGAAUGUAUGUAAGUGAUACACAGUGGCUGGUACAGAGUGUGGACUGUAUGUAGGUGAUACACAGUGGAGGAU
This 1708-nucleotide unclassified non-coding RNA is filed under the name Haliotis rufescens (red abalone). RNAcentral's name for it is "rYamide receptor-like, transcript variant X3". The record is from RNAcentral. Lineage: Eukaryota; Metazoa; Mollusca; Gastropoda; Lepetellida; Haliotidae.